AGCGAACGCUGGCGGCAGGCCUAACACAUGCAAGUCGAACGGACCCUUCGGGGUUAGUGGCGGACGGGUGGGUAACACGUGGGAACGUGCCUUUAGGUUCGGAAUAGCUCCUGGAAACGGGUGGUAAUGCCGAAUGUGCCCUUCGGGGGAAAGAUUUAUCGCCUUUAGAGCGGCCCGCGUCUGAUUAGCUUGUUGGUGGGGUAAUGGCCCACCAAGGCUACGAUCAGUAGCUGGUCUGAGAGGAUGACCAGCCACAUUGGGACUGAGACACGGCCCAAACUCCUACGGGAGGCAGCAGUGGGGAAUCUUGCGCAAUGGGCGAAAGCCUGACGCAGCCAUGCCGCGUGUAUGAUGAAGGUCUUAGGAUUGUAAAAUACUUUCACCGGUGAAGAUAAUGACUGUAGCCGGAGAAGAAGCCCCGGCUAACUUCGUGCCAGCAGCCGCGGUAAUACGAAGGGGGCUAGCGUUGCUCGGAAUUACUGGGCGUAAAGGGAGCGUAGGCGGACAUUUAAGU
RNAcentral lists this ribosomal RNA (514 nucleotides) under uncultured bacterium. RNAcentral describes it as "bacterial SSU rRNA". It matches the Rfam family "Bacterial small subunit ribosomal RNA", at positions 28 to 588 of the family's 1533-position model. The record is from RNAcentral.